This 403-nucleotide ribosomal RNA is filed under the name Fusobacteriota bacterium. RNAcentral describes it as "Fusobacteria bacterium partial 16S ribosomal RNA". It matches the Rfam family "Bacterial small subunit ribosomal RNA", at positions 355 to 776 of the family's 1533-position model. Lineage: Bacteria; Fusobacteriati; Fusobacteriota. The record is from RNAcentral.
UGGGGAAUAUUGCACAAUGGAGGGAACUCUGAUGCAGCGACGCCGCGUGAACGAAGAAGGCUUUCGAGUCGUAAAGUUCUUUUAUAUGGGAAGAUAAUGACGGUACCAUAAGAAAAAGCCCCGGCUAACUACGUGCCAGCAGCCGCGGUAAUACGUAGGGGGCUAGCGUUUUCCGGAAUCACUGGGCGUAAAGGGUUCGCAGGCGGAAAUGCAAGUAAGGUGUAAAAGGCAGUAGCUUAACUACUGUAAGCAUUUGAAACUGCAUAUCUUGAGAAGAGUAGAGGUAAGUGGAAUUUUUAGUGUAGCGGUGAAAUGCGUAGAUAUUAAAAAGAAUACCGGUGGCGAAGGCGACUUACUGGGCUCAUUCUGACGCUGAGGAACGAAAGCGUGGGUAGCAAACAGG